GACGAACCGUGCGAACGUUGUUCGGAUUCACUGGGCUUAAAGGGCGCGUAGGCGGGCGGUCAAGUCAGGGGUGAAAUCUUUCGGCCCAACCGGAAAAGUGCCUCUGAUACUGGCCGCCUCGAGGGAGGUAGGGGCAUGUGGAACUUCCGGUGGAGCGGUGAAAUGCGUAGAUAUCGGAAGGAACGCCGGUGGCGAAAGCGACGUGCUGGACCUCUUCUGACGCUGAGGCGCGAAAGCCAGGGGAGCAAACGGG
Molecule: ribosomal RNA, 253 nt
Filed under: uncultured bacterium
Lineage: Bacteria
Description: partial 16S ribosomal RNA
Rfam family: Bacterial small subunit ribosomal RNA
Source: RNAcentral